AUACGACCACGCCUCGGGCACAUUUUUCGAUCAGCUCCAUAAGUAUUUCUUGCACACCCAUGCGAGCUAAAUUAGCUCAAUUGCAUCUCGCUGAGCUUCGUUUAGCUUGUUUCCAGCUCAAUGGGAUCAUUUUGCUCAAUUUGAGUUUAUUUUAAUUCUUAAAUUUUCAUUUGCUAAAAUAAAUUGAAUAAGUUAGUUUAUUUAUUUAUUCCAGCACAACAAAGUGUUAGUAUUAAAUUUAUUAAAAUUGGACAUUUUAAUUAGGUGUUUUAAAUAUGUUUUAUUUUUAUGUUUUUUUAAUGUGUCCUAUUUUCAUACAUAGCAUAAAUAUGUCUAGGCUAUUACAUCUAUUUAUUAUGACGAAUUUAAUUCUGCCACUGCAUGUUAUAAAUAUGUCUGGACGAAAUUAAUGCUGCUGCUACAUGUUUGGACGAAUUUAAUGUAUGUUUUUAAGGUGUCCAGCUGAAUUUAAUUGUCAUUACAUCAUUUAAUUUGCUUUGCUACAACCGAAUUUAAUGAUGUCUUAAAUGGUGUCCAGUUGAAGUUAAUUGUGGCUGCCGAAUUAAAUAUGUCUAGUUAACCAUUUAAUGUUGUCUUAACAUGAAUUAAUGGUUGUUGCAUGCAGGUACAUGGACAGCAUUAAAUGAAGUGGUUGUUGCCGAAAUUAAAAUUGCUGGAAUUAAUGUGCAGCAAAAGCAAUUAUGGACGGCCAUUCAAUGGAUGCUGGAAGCAUUUAAGGAGCUGCUUGUGCUUUUUCAUGUGGCCAUUUAAUGGACGAAAUUAAAGAAGCUGCUUGCUGAUUUAUUGUGCAGCAAAGCCAUGAAUUAAAUGUGAUGUUCCACAUGCAAGGAACGUCCACUUAAUGAGCUGCUGAUUUAUUUUUUUCGUGCACAGCAAGGGAUCCAUGAAGAGUUGCUGAUUCCUCUUUUCCAUGAGCCAUUUUCGUUCUUCUCAAAUGCCAUAAAUGUGCCGUCCAUGUGAGGGAAUGUGCCUCUUCGUGGAGAUUAAAAAGCUAUGACUCCUCACAUUUAUUUGGCAGCCCAUUUCUCUUCCCCAAGUUGGCCUUUGAGCUCCCCAAGCAUCCAUAAGAGCUUUCACACAAGUUGGACGAAUUUAGGCCAAUCUAAACAAUUCUAUUCAGCCAUUUCAGCUCAAUCAUCACCUCAUUAAUUCAAGGCUAUUAGAAGACAUCAAAUGGCUGUCCAUUGACGUCUCCAAAGCUGGGAAUCUUCAAGAAAGCUUCAAGGGACGUUCUAGGAAGCUACAUGAAAUUUUCAAUUCAUUUGCUUUGAAAAUAAGCUGACUUUUUAGCUGCUCAAGUGUCCAUUCAGCUAGCCUAGGAAUUUAGCUAUAAAUAGUUUGCUUUGUAAUUUUUUUGGGGUUAGGCAAUAUUUUUUUAAAACUUAUAUGAAAUUUGUUUACUUUGUGAGUUUGUUUUCAACUCUCAUUGUUCUCCAAGGACUAGUUAGACUUAUCAAGUAACCCUUGUGGCGUCAACCCGUUUUUAUAUUUCGAACUUAUCACUUUACACCCAAAGUGUGGCGUUCAAAGUUAUACCGAGGUUCCUAUCAUCUUUGAUAGUGGGUCGAGGUUCCAUUUUAUUCGUUUUCCAUCCAUACGACAUUUAACCUUUCCUAAGUUUUCGUAUAAGUCCCGGGUUAACACAUUUAUAUUGUGUUGGUUCAACUUGAAUAUUUGGUUUUCAUUCACCUAUCAACCUCAAUACAUUCCAUAACCCCUUUUGAACUAAAUUUGAGCCUUUAUCUCUUCUUUCUUAACCUAUUUCGUCCACCCUCAAGUAUUACUCCAAUUCACGAUCGGGAACAACAACGACUCGGAUUCAUCAACGAGGCCGGGGGCGUAUCAUUUGGUAUCAGAGCUAGCUGAAUCGGAGUAAGAUCGACGUUAUCGGUAUUACGGUAUUGUAAAAAAAAUAAAAAAAAAACUUGAAAAAAAAUUCGAAAAAAAAUUCAAAAAAAAAGUUUGUAUUCAAUUUAUUUUUACUUUUUGUAUUUAGUAUUGAAGGAAAAAAAGAAGAAAAAAAAUUCAAAAUUAAAAAAAAGAAGAAAAAAAAAUCGAAAUUGAAAAAAAAAAUAGUGAUUGAAAUUCAUUUUGGGUUUGUAAAAGCAUAGCUUGUUGCCCGAAGGACCAUAUCUAUAUAGCCACACUUAACCAUUUCUAUUUUGUUUGAUAGCCUACCAUUUCCGACAUCAUUACCCACCAAGCCAAAUCAAUUUUGUAAGCCGACGCCAAACGGUAUUGAUUCGUCGACUUAGUUUGCGAAGAACUUCGAGAGGCGAAAAAUCGAGUGGAAAAAGGCAAGAGUGAUUGGUGAGACCAUUUGAGAGAAGUAAAAGCCAAGUUGUGUGAAUUUUCUUUGCGAGUGAAACGUGAGAUUUUUGUGGUGAGCAAUUAAAUCAUGUCUCAAGAAGAAUUUUCCGAAUCAGAAUUCCAAUAUUUGAUGCAAGAAAUGCGUAGAAUGGUAAAAUUAAAAUUUGAUAAAUUGCAUUAUCGUUUGGACCGAGUAGAGGAAAAGGCCCGACAGAAACAAAAUCUACCAAGUCGAGAAAUGGAGUUAAGAUCAUCCCGACGACACUACUCGACAAGAGACUCUUAUCAAGACUUCUAUUCAACAAGGCGUUCGAGACCAAGAGAAGCAAACUCCGAGUUUGAGUCCUUCCGAGAUGAUAAACGAAAAGGUAAACGUGUCUCUACAAGUGCCUCAAUUUAUUCAUCUACAAAGGAUUAUUUACGAAGAGGUGCACGUGUUUCAAGAGUGUCAAAGUACUCGACUACGGAAGAUCUAUCACAAAGAGAAGAUUGCCAUUUGUAUGAAGAAUCCUUUUCUUAUUCUCAACGAAAGGCUUCUCAUUUUGAUGAUUUCUACUUUUGUAAUGGAAUUGAAAUAGCAUGUGAAAAAGAAAAAGAAAAAGAGCACAAGCGAGAAAAUGAACAUGAAAAAGAAAUGAAAGAAAAAGAAGAUGAGUGGGAGAUAGAAAAGAAAAUUGAAAAUGAGAUUGAGAAUAAAAACGAGUGCGAAAAAGAAAAGGAAACCGAAAAAGAGAGUGAGAUUGAAGGAAGAAACGAGAGUACAAAAGAAAUGAGUGAUAUGGUAAAAGAAAGAGGAUUUGAAAAUGAGUUGGAAAAAGAAAUAAACGAAAAGGAUGAAAGUGAAAAAGAAAGGAGUGUUGUUACUAACCAUCCUAUGAAUUUUCCUUGUUUUGUUUCUACUUUUCAGGUUUCUCGAAAUCCCAUCGAUCAAUUUCAACUUCAAUACUUUUCUAAGGAGAAACGAUUUCGAUUAGUCGAGAAAGGUAAGAUCAUAGAUGACCCUAGUCCACAAGUGCUUAAAGGUAAGCCAUGUAAGGGAUCUACUGUAUUUGAGUCUUCUCAAUCUUACUUGAUUCUUGAUGACGAGAUUAGCAAAGACUUAGUUUGUGAGAAAGUUUUUCAUCUUGAUCUGAUUGGAAAUCAUAAUUUGAUUGUUGAUAAAUGUGUUUUACAUAGUAAUGUGAAAUAUCUUUCUGCUCAUGAGCCUAUCAUUGUCAAGAUUGAUCAAGAAGUAAGUCCAGGUAAGCCCAAACAAAAUUUGGGAUUGUGUGAUGAAAAGUUGACAUCUAAUCUGUGUGCUUGUGAUGAUCAUGUGAAUUAUUUAAAUUGUGGUGUGAACUUUUCUUGUUUACGUGUGCGAAUGAAAUAUGAAGGGUUUGAUUGCUCGAAUGUAUGUAUGCCUAACUCCUAUUUGCUUGACAUGUGUGAAGUCUUGGUGAAGAAGAAAUUUUUGUUGCGUUGCGAAACGACCAAUGAAAAUCGCGUUUUUAAACCCGGGAUAUACAUUCCUAAGUUAACGUCAAGCCAAGCAAGAGGAAGCUUCGUUUUUGACCCCGGAGAUUAUUAUUCUUUGUUCUUGUUAAAAGGGUUUGGAUUUUGCAAUUUUGACUUUCGAGAUUAUGUCUUUCGACUGUUUUGUGGUUCGGAUUUGUUUCUAUCCAUGAACUUUUUGAUUCAUUUUGGAAAGGUAAGACUGAAUUUCAUUUUUGAUCCUGGCAUUGGGUUAAGCAUCCCAAUUUUGAAUAAGCAUCUAAAAAUAUCAUUUGUGUUUAUAAUUUUUAGUGUCUCUAAUUCCUUUCAUUCUUGUGUAGGUGACACUCUAAAUUGUUUCCCUCUUAAAGAGGGAGGGCGUGGAAAUAAUUCAAUUUCUUAUCGAACCAUUUGUGAUUUUCAAAGUUUAGGAAAUGAUUCUAUUCGGAUCAUGAACAAAAGGGUUCGAGAUCUUGAAAAAAUUUUUCUCGAGCAAAUGGCCCGAUUUGAGGACAAAUCGCCUUAAAGAGGGAGGGGAUGAUACGACCACGCCUCGGGCACAUUUUUCGAUCAGCUCCAUAAGUAUUUCUUGCACACCCAUGCGAGCUAAAUUAGCUCAAUUGCAUCUCGCUGAGCUUCGUUUAGCUUGUUUCCAGCUCAAUGGGAUCAUUUUGCUCAAUUUGAGUUUAUUUUAAUUCUUAAAUUUUCAUUUGCUAAAAUAAAUUGAAUAAGUUAAUUUAUUUAUUUAUUCCAGCACAACUAAGUGUUAGUAUUAAAUUUAUUAAAAUUGGACAUUUUAAUUAGGUGUUUUAAAUAUGUUUUAUUUUUAUGUUUUUUUAAUGUGUCCUAUUUUCAUACAUAGCAUAAAUAUGUCUAGGCUAUUACAUCUAUUUAUUAUGACGAAUUUAAUGCUGCCACUGCAUGUUAUAAAUAUGUCUGGACAAAAUUAAUGCUGCUGCUACAUGUUUGGACGAAUUUAAUGUAUGUUUUUAAGGUGUCCAGCUGAAUUUAAUUGUCAUUACAUCAUUUAAUUUGCUUUGCUACAACCGAAUUUAAUGAUGUCUUAAAUGGUGUCCAGUUGAAGUUAAUUGUGGCUGCCGAAUUAAAUAUGUCUAGUUAACCAUUUAAUGUUGUCUUAACAUGAAUUAAUGGUUGUUGCAUGCAGGUACAUGGACAGCAUUAAAUGAAGUGGUUGUUGCCGAAAUUAAAAUUGCUGGAAUUAAUGUGCAGCAAAAGCAAUUAUGGACGGCCAUUCAAUGGAUGCUGGAAGCAUUUAAGGAGCUCCUUGUGCUUUUUCAUGUGGCCAUUUAAUGGACGAAAUUAAAGAAGCUGCUUGCUGAUUUAUUGUGCAGCAAAGCCAUGAAUUAAAUGUGAUGUUCCACAUGCAAGGAACGUCCACUUAAUGAGCUGCUGAUUUAUUUUUUUCGUGCACAGCAAGGGAUCCAUGAAGAGUUGCUGAUUCCUCUUUUCCAUGAGCCAUUUUCGUUCUUCUCAAAUGCCAUAAAUGUGCCGUCCAUGUGAGGGAAUGUGCCUCUUCGUGGAGAUUAAAAAGCUAUGACUCCUCACAUUUAUUUGGCAGCCCAUUUCUCUUCCCCAAGUUGGCCUUUGAGCUCCCCAAGCAUCCAUAAGAGCUUUCACACAAGUUGGACGAAUUUAGGCCAAUCUAAACAAUUCUAUUCAGCCAUUUCAGCUCAAUCAUCACCUCAUUAAUUCAAGGCUAUUAGAAGACAUCAAAUGGCUGUCCAUUGACGUCUCCAAAGCUGGGAAUCUUCAAGAAAGCUUCAAGGGACGUUCUAGGAAGCUACAUGAAAUUUUCAAUUCAUUUGCUUUGAAAAUAAGCUGACUUUUUAGCUGCUCAAGUGUCCAUUCAGCUAGCCUAGGAAUUUAGCUAUAAAUAGUUUGCUUUGUAAUUUUUUUGGGGUUAGGCAAUAUUUUUUUAAAACUUAUAUGAAAUUUGUUUACUUUGUGAGUUUGUUUUCAACUCUCAUUGUUCUCCAAGGACUAGUUAGACUUAUCAAGUAACCCUUGUGGCGUCAACCCGUUUUUAUAUUUCGAACUUAUCACUUUACACCCAAAGUGUGGCGUUCAAAGUUAUACCGAGGUUCCUAUCAUCUUUGAUAGUGGGUCGAGGUUCCAUUUUAUUCGUUUUCCAUCCAUAUGACAUUUAACCUUUCCUAAGUUUUCGUAUAAGUCCCGGGUUAACACAUUUAUAUUGUGUUGGUUCAACUUGAAUAUUUGGUUUUCAUUCACCUAUCAACCUCAAUACAUUCCAUAACCCCUUUUGAACUAAAUUUGAGCCUUUAUCUCUUCUUUCUUAACCUAUUUCGUCCACCCUCGAGUAUUACUCCAAUUCACGAUCGGGAACAACAACGACUCGGAUUCAUCAACGAGGCCGGGGGCGUAUCAUUUGGUAUCAGAGCUAGCUGAAUCGGAGUAAGAUCGACGUUAUCGGUAUUACGGUAUUGUAAAAAAAAUAAAAAAAACUUGAAAAAAAAUUCGAAAAAAAAUUUUAAAAAAAAGUUUGUAUUCAAUUUAUUUUUACUUUUUGUAUUUAGUAUUGAAGGAAAAAAAGAAGAAAAAAAAUUCGGAAUUAAAAAAAAAGAAGAAAAAAAAAUCGAAAUUGAAAAAAAAAAGAGUGAUUGAAAUUCAUUUUGGGUUUGUAAAAGCAUUGCUUGUUGCCCGAAGGACCAUAUCUAUAUAGCCACACUUAACCAUUCUAUUUUGUUUGAUAGCCUACCAUUUCCGACAUCAUUACCCACCAAGCCAAAUCAAUUUUGUAAGCCGACGCCAAACGGUAUUGAUUCGUCGACUUAGUUUGCGAAGAACUUCGAGAGGCAAAAACUCGAGUGGAAAAAGGCAAGAGUGAUUGGUGAGACCAUUUGAGAGAAGUAAAAGCCAAGUUGUGUGAAUUUUCUUUGCGAGUGAAACGUGAGAUUUUUGUGGUGAGCAAUUAAAUCAUGUCUCAAGAAGAAUUUUCCGAAUCAGAAUUCCAAUAUUUGAUGCAAGAAAUGCGUAGAAUGGUAAAAUUAAAAUUUGAUAAAUUGCAUUAUCGUUUGGACCGAGUGGAGGAAAAGGCCCGAUAGAAACAAAAUCUACCAAAUCGAGAAACGGAGUUAAGAUCAUCCCGACGACACUACUCGACAAGUGACUCUUAUCAAGACUUCUAUUCAACAAGGCGUUCGAGACCAAGAGAAGCAAACUCCGAGUUUGAGUCCUUCCGAGAUGAUAAACGAAAAGGUAAACGUGUCUCUAUAAGUGCCUCAAUUUAUUCAUCUACAAAGGAUUAUUUACGAAGAGGUGCACGUGUUUCAAGAGUGUCAAAGUACUCGACUACGGAAGAUCUAUCACAAAGAGAAGAUUGCCAUUUUUAUGAAGAAUCCUUUUCUUAUUCUCAACGAAAGGCUUCUCAUUUUGAUGAUUUCUACUUUUGUAAUGGAAUUGAAAUAGCAUGUGAAAAAGAAAAAGAAAAAGAGUGCGAGCUAGAAAAUGAACAUGAAAAAGAAAUGAAAGAAAAAGAAGAUGAGUGGGAGAUAGAAAAGAAAAUUGAAAAUGAGAUUGAGAAUAAAAACGAGUGCGAAAAAGAAAAGGAAACCGAAAAAGAGAGUGAGAUUGAAGGAAGAAACGAGAGUACAAAAGAAAUGAGUGAUAUGGUAAAAGAAAGAGGAUUUGAAAAUGAGUUGGAAAAAGAAAUAAACGAAAAGGAUGAAAGUGAAAAAGAAAGGAGUGUUGUUACUAACCAUCCUAUGAAUUUUCCUUGUUUUGUUUCUACUUUUCAGGUUUCUCGAAAUCCCAUCGAUCAAUUUCAACUUCAAUACUUUUCUAAGGAGAAACGAUUUCGAUUAGUCGAGAAAGGUAAGAUCAUAGAUGACCCUAGUCCACAAGUGCUUAAAGGUAAGCCAUUUAAGGGAUCUACUGUAUUUGAGUCUUCUCAAUCUUACUUGAUUCUUGAUGACGAGAUUAGCAAAGACUUAGUUUGUGAGAAAGUUUUUCAUCUUGAUCUGAUUGGAAAUCAUAAUUUGAUUGUUGAUAAAUGUGUUUUACAUAGUAAUGUGAAAUAUCUUUCUGCUCAUGAGCCUAUCAUUGUCAAGAUUGAUCAAGAAGUAAGUCCAGGUAAGCCCAAACAAAAUUUGGGAUUGUGUGAUGAAAAGUUGACAUCUAAUCUGUGUGCUUGUGAUGAUCAUGUGAAUUAUCUAAAUUGUGGUGUGAACUUUUCUUGUUUACGUGUGCGAAUGAAAUAUGAAGGGUUUGAUUGCUCGAAUGUAUGUAUGCCUAACUCCUAUUUGCUUGACAUGUGUGAAGUCUUGGUGAAGAAGAAAUUUUUGUUGCGUUGCGAAACGACCAAUGAAAAUCGCGUUUUUAAACCCGGGAUAUACAUUCCUAAGUUAACGUCAAGCCAAGCAAGAGGAAGCUUCGUUUUUGACCCCGGAGAUUAUUAUUCUUUGUUCUUGUUAAAAGGGUUUGGAUUUUGCAAUUUUGACUUUCGAGAUUAUGUCUUUCGACUGUUUUGUGGUUCGGAUUUGUUUCUAUCCAUGAACUUUUUGAUUCAUUUUGGAAAGGUAAGACUGAAUUUCAUUUUUGAUCCUGGCAUUGGGUUAAGCAUCCCAAUUUUGAAUAAGCAUCUAAAAAUAUCAUUUGUGUUUAUAAUUUUUAGUGUCUCUAAUUCCUUUCAUUCUUGUGUAGGUGACACUCUAAAUUGUUUCCCUCUUAAAGAGGGAGGGCGUGGAAAUAAUUCAAUUUCUUAUCGAACCAUUUGUGAUUUUCAAAGUUUAGGAAAUGAUUCUAUUCGGAUCAUGAACAAAAGGGUUCGAGAUCUUGAAAAAAUUUUUCUCGAGCAAAUGGCCCGAUUUGAGGACAAAUCGCCUUAAAGAGGGAGGGGAUGAUACGACCACGCCUCGGGCACAUUUUUCGAUCAGCUCCAUAAGUAUUUCUUGCACACCCAUGCGAGCUAAAUUAGCUCAAUUGCAUCUCGCUGAGCUUCGUUUAGCUUGUUUCCAGCUCAAUGGGAUCAUUUUGCUCAAUUUGAGUUUAUUUUAAUUCUUAAAUUUUCAUUUGCUAAAAUAAAUUGAAUAAGUUAGUUUAUUUAUUUAUUCCAGCACAACUAAGUGUUAGUAUUAAAUUUAUUAAAAUUGGACAUUUUAAUUAGGUGUUUUAAAUAUGUUUUAUUUUUAUGUUUUUUUAAUGUGUCCUAUUUUCAUACAUAGCAUAAAUAUGUCUAGGCUAUUACAUCUAUUUAUUAUGAUGAAUUUAAUGCUGCCACUGCAUGUUAUAAAUAUGUCUGGACGAAAUUAAUGCUGCUGCUACAUGUUUGGACGAAUUUAAUGUAUGUUUUUAAGGUGUCCAGCUGAAUUUAAUUGUCAUUACAUCAUUUAAUUUGCUUUGCUACAACCGAAUUUAAUGAUGUCUUAAAUGGUGUCCAGUUGAAGUUAAUUGUGGCUGCCGAAUUAAAUAUGUCUAGUUAACCAUUUAAUGUUGUCUUAACAUGAAUUAAUGGUUGUUGCAUGCAGGUACAUGGACAGCAUUAAAUGAAGUGGUUGUUGCCGAAAUUAAAAUUGCUGGAAUUAAUGUGCAGCAAAAGCAAUUAUGGACGGCCAUUCAAUGGAUGCUGGAAGCAUUUAAGGAGCUGCUUGUGCUUUUUCAUGUGGCCAUUUAAUGGACGAAAUUAAAGAAGCUGCUUGCUGAUUUAUUGUGCAGCAAAGCCAUGAAUUAAAUGUGAUGUUCCACAUGCAAGGAACGUCCACUUAAUGAGCUGCUGAUUUAUUUUUUUCGUGCACAGCAAGGGAUCCAUGAAGAGUUGCUGAUUCCUCUUUUCUAUGAGCCAUUUUCGUUCUUCUCAAAUGCCAUAAAUGUGCCGUCCAUGUGAGGGAAUGUGCCUCUUCGUGGAGAUUAAAAAGCUAUGACUCCUCACAUUUAUUUGGCAGCCCAUUUCUCUUCCCCAAGUUGGCCUUUGAGCUCCCCAAGCAUCCAUAAGAGCUUUCACACAAGUUGGACGAAUUUAGGCCAAUCUAAACAAUUCUAUUCAGCCAUUUCAGCUCAAUCAUCACCUCAUUAAUUCAAGGCUAUUAGAAGACAUCAAAUGGCUGUCCAUUGACGUCUCCAAAGCUGGGAAUCUUCAAGAAAGCUUCAAGGGACAUUCUAGGAAGCUACAUGAAAUUUUCAAUUCAUUUGCUUUGAAAAUAAGCUGACUUUUUAGCUGCUCAAGUGUCCAUUCAGCUAGCCUAGGAAUUUAGCUAUAAAUAGUUUGCUUUGUAAUUGUUUUGGGGUUAGGCAAUAUUUUUUUAAAACUUAUAUGAAAUUUGUUUACUUUGUGAGUUUGUUUUCAACUCUCAUUGUUCUCCAAGGACUGGUUAGACUUAUCAAGUAACCCUUGUGGCGUCAACCCGUUUUUAUAUUUCGAACUUAUCACUUUGCACCCAAAGUGUGGCGUUCAAAGUUAUACCGAGGUUCCUAUCAUCUUUGAUAGUGGGUCGAGGUUCCAUUUUAUUCGUUUUCCAUCCAUACGACAUUUAACCUUUCCUAAGUUUUCGUAUAAGUCCCGGGUUAACACAUUUAUAUUGUGUUGGUUCAACUUGAAUAUUUGGUUUUCAUUCACCUAUCAACCUCAAUACAUUCCAUAACCCCUUUUGAACUAAAUUUGAGCCUUUAUCUCUUCUUUCUUAACCUAUUUCGUCCACCCUCGAGUAUUACUCCAAUUCACGAUCGGGAACAACAACGACUCGGAU
Molecule: long non-coding RNA, 10520 nt
Filed under: Gossypium barbadense (sea-island cotton)
Lineage: Eukaryota; Viridiplantae; Streptophyta; Magnoliopsida; Malvales; Malvaceae
Description: long non-coding RNA (GBAR_LNC016508)
Source: RNAcentral